Molecule: ribosomal RNA, 384 nt
Filed under: uncultured bacterium
Lineage: Bacteria
Description: bacterial SSU rRNA
Rfam family: Bacterial small subunit ribosomal RNA
Source: RNAcentral
AUUGAACGCUGGCGGCAUGCCUUACACAUGCAAGUCGAACGGCAGCGGACCUUCGGGUGCCGGCGAGUGGCGAACGGGUGAGUAAUAUAUCGGAACGUACCUUUCAGUGGGGGAUAACGUAGCGAAAGUUACGCUAAUACCGCAUAUUCUGUGAGCAGGAAAGCAGGGGAUCGCAAGACCUUGCGCUGAUUGAGCGGCCGAUAUCAGAUUAGCUAGUUGGUGAGGUAAAGGCUCACCAAGGCGACGAUCUGUAGCGGGUCUGAGAGGAUGAUCCGCCACACUGGAACUGAGACACGGUCCAGACUCCUACGGGAGGCAGCAGUGGGGAUUUUGGACAAUGGGCGCAAGCCUGAUCCAGCCAUGCCGCGUGAGUGAAGAAGGCCU